UCGGUGCUAAGAUGGACGCUCUACAGGCGAGGGAGCGGCUCCGGAGGAGGUACCUGUUCCAGCGGGACGCGGUGGUCCAGCUGGACCGCGAGGGCUACGCCGGGCCGGAAACCUCUACACCUGUUGAGAAAAAGGAGAAACCUCUUCCAAGACUUAAUAUCCAUUCUGGAUUCUGGAUUCUGGCAUCCAUUGCUGUGACUUAUUAUGUUGAUUUCUUUCAAACCGUUAAAGAAAACUUUCACACCAGUAGUUGGUUUCUGUUUGGCGGUGCCUUGUUGCUUGUUAGCUUAUCGAUUGCAUUUUACUGCAUAGUCUAUCUGGAAUGGUAUUGUGGAAUUGAAGAUUAUGAUAUCAAGUAUCCAACGUUGAUACCUAUUACAACUGCUACUUUUAUUGUAGCAGGAAUUUGCUUCAAUGUUGCUUUAUGGCAUGUGUGGUCAUUUUUCACUCCACUGCUGUUGUUUACCCAGUUUAUGGGGGUUGUAAUGUUGAUCUCACUCCUUGGAUGAUUUCUAAAGGAAUCCCUGAAGUUUCAUCCCAUUACAGCAUCAGGUUCAGGCUUGAGCUCCCGGAUCUCAUCAUCUAAAUCAAUAAAAGGUGCCUCAUCAGGUGCAAGGUCCUCUCAGUCUGCACACCUUUAAAGAACUGGAUUAUCUGACAUUCUACACAAUAUCAUACUGGGCCACUACACUGAUGAUCUACAGUCAUUGGAUCUGAUGAGCAGGAAGCAGCCAGUACUUUAGAUGUCUUAUCUGAAACAGGGUGGAUGAGAAAACCUACUAAAAUUCAGGAGGCUAUAACUUUGGUGAAGUCUUUGGGGGUUCAGUGAUCUUGAACGUGUUGGCAUAUCACCUCCAAGAUGAAAGACAAGAUGCUGCUCCUUGUGCUUCCUCCAUUAAAAAAGAGGCAAAUCCUUAUAGGGAUUUCUGGACGUUGGAGGCAACAUAGACUACAUCUAAGUGUGUUACUUUGACCUAUUUACUGAGGAACUCGGGAGGCUGCCCAUUUUGAGUGGGUGUUGGAGCAAGAGAAGGCUCGGAAGCAUCUCCAGCCUGUAGUGCACACAUUCUCCCACUUGGAUCUUAUAACCCAACAAAGCCAAUGGCACUUGAAGUGUUUGUGGCAAAUAGUGGUCUUAUGUUGGAGACUCUAGCACAAACCACUAGGAGGGUCACAGCACAGACCACAAGGAUUUUAGAGCAAAUCCAUACCUUCUUCUGUAGAUAAUUAUUUCCCUUUUGAGAAAUAACUUCUCACUUGCUACUAGGCCCUAGUAGAGACUGAAUGUCCAUCUAUUGCAUGGACUGGAGUCAUCUGACCCACCAAACCACAAGGUUGGGCAUGCCCAGCAGUGAUAUAUUGUUGAGUAGGAAUGAUGUAGACGACUUGAACUUGAGCAGGGUUGAAAGCCAUGAAUAAGUUGCAUGCACAGGUGGCUCAGGUUCCUUUGAAACCACUCCUCCUGCAUUGUCUCCUUUCCUUUAAUUCACACCUGUGGUCUCAUGGGGUUUUUUUCAUGACUGAUGAGAAAAAGCUCAGACUUAGUUUACAGGUGGCUCUAUGUGAUAUGACAACACCAACCAUCAUGAUAUGAUGUCCAACCAUGUGGACAGCUGCAGCAUUACAGCCCCACCCAAAGGGAUCCCUGAAGGGAAGGGUGGAAAAGGAAAAUCUUCCCAGUGGGCAGAGUGUUGAGUGGUACAUAGGGUUGUUCACUUUGUCUGGAUUUAGAGACGUCCAGAGUACAAAUAUACAUGAACUCAUGGAUGGUUGCUAACAGGCUACCAGUUUGUCUAGAUAUUCAGUGACUUGGAAAUAAAAUCUGAAGAUUGGUUACAAGGAGGUUUGGGGGGAAAGUGUGUGGAUGGACCUCUCAGAAUGGAUUCAGGGUAUGAAGAUUUGCAUCUCAUGUGAAUGCUCACCAGCGGUGUCCCCUACAGAGGAGCGGGAUGACAUGGCUGUUCUGUGGGAGUCCGUCAGCCUUGUGGCCUGGCCACCCCAGUGCUUGCUCUACAGGCCCAGGUACAAGGUACACGGGGGCAGGGAUGGAGGCCAGGCAUGUGCUCGGCAACACAGAAAUCUCUCCAAGGCUGAUGUGGUUAACAGAGUGCUGAGUGCAGAACCUGCUGUGAUGAUCUGAAAAAAUAAAAUUUUGGAAACGUCUUCCAUUGAGAGGGGGAAAUCUUUAUCCCCUUCCCUUGAAUCUGGGCGGGCUUAUGACAGCUUUCACCAACAUAGGAUGCCGUAAAUGAUGCUAUGUGGCUUCUCAGGCUAGGUCGUAAAGGCC
RNA transcript from Physeter macrocephalus (sperm whale), 2287 nucleotides. It is a transcript of the gene named transmembrane protein 128, with no coding region annotated. NCBI's taxonomy places the organism in Eukaryota, Metazoa, Chordata, Mammalia, Artiodactyla, Physeteridae. The transcript is spliced from 6 exons. The record is from RefSeq and is a predicted model, not a curated record.